RNAcentral lists this ribosomal RNA (497 nucleotides) under uncultured bacterium. RNAcentral describes it as "partial 16S ribosomal RNA". It matches the Rfam family "Bacterial small subunit ribosomal RNA", at positions 28 to 507 of the family's 1533-position model. The record is from RNAcentral.
GAUGAACGCUGGCGGCGUGCCUAAUACAUGCAAGUCGAGCGAACGGACGAGAAGCUUGCUUCUCUGAUGUUAGCCGCGGACGUGUGAGUAACACGUGGAGAACCUACCUAUAAGACUGGGAUAAAUUCGGGAAACCGGACCUAAUACCAGAGAAUAAUCUGAGCCGCAUGGGUCAAAAGAGAAAUACGGUCUUGCUGUCACUUAUAGAUGGAUCCGCGCUGCAUUAGCUAGUUGGUAAGGUAACGGCUUACCAAGGCAAGGAUGCAUAGCCGACCCGAGAGGGUGAUUGCCCACCCUGGAACGGAGACACGGUCCAGACUCCUGCGGGAGGCAGCAGUAGGGAAUCUUCCGCAAGGGGGGAAAGCCUGAUAGAGCAAAGCCGCGUGAGUGAUGAAGGUCUUCGGCUCGUAAAGCGCUGUUGUUAGUAAAGAACAAAUGUGCAAGUAACUGGGCUGAUAAUGACGGUACCGGAUGAAUAAGCCACGGCUAACUCCGUG